AUUCUCUGGCUUGAGCUUGAGCUAUGCGAUUGUACUUCGCAUUCAUUUUAUUGCCCACUCAAUAGCUCACUUGACAGACCUGUUAAAAGCCAAACCCUCUUGUCAAAUUCAUUUGAUUUAAUUUUAUUUCGGUUUCAUGAUGCUUUUUAUUUUUAAAAAUUAUUUUAACUAUAAAACCAUGGGACGCUGACAGCCUUAUCUACGUCCAUGCUGACAGCGAUCCGUUACAUUACCACGUAUAAGACAAGUGAAUCGUUCUGCACAAAACCUUCCACCCACAGCAGACGCGACCCCAAAACCAGUGACACAAAAUGCAUUGAGUCUGGCUGGUGCUGAAAAAGGCGCUAUACAAAUAUUUUAUUUAUUAUUAAACGAAAAACAAGGAAUUCUAAAUUUCUACUUUCAGAGCCACAGCUGCAUGGGUGAUAACUCUUGGCAAACUUAUGGAGUUGUAGUUCUUUCUUAUAGGCCCAUGCGGCAUUGAGUUGUGUUUCGGUAAAGGACAUUUGCCGAACUGUACGAGGUUUCUUUGUCGCUGAUGGAUAUUUCUUGUUUACUAAAUGAAACAAGCCAGGAAUAAUAUGUCUGCAUCAUAUAGAAGGCUCAUUGAACACAUGCAGCCAUGUACGCAACUUCUCAUCUUCAGUUUGUACAUGUCAGGUUUCCGCUUCUGAAAGUGAGAAAUAUACGAUGGUAUUGCUCGGGAAUUCUACAAACUAAACCACACUGGGCAAACAGCAAGAUGGACAGACAACAGUGGAAGGGGAAAAAGUCAAAGUUAUCUUUUGAAAAGAAACUACAUCAUGAACUUUUAAAAGUGUUGAACAAACGAGCUGCACAACUCAUCUUACACAGAGAAACUCACCAACUCCAUCGUAUAUUGGUCACCAACUUCAGCUUCAUGGAUUUUCCAGUUCAGAUGCCC
Long non-coding RNA from Pomacea canaliculata, 925 nucleotides. RefSeq lists it as uncharacterized. The record is from RefSeq and is a predicted model, not a curated record. The transcript is spliced from 3 exons. Lineage: Eukaryota; Metazoa; Mollusca; Gastropoda; Architaenioglossa; Ampullariidae.